GAGCAAAGCAAAUGAAUUCAUCCUGAUCUUUCCUACUAUGCAGGCUCAGAAACAGACAUACAAUGUGAUUAAUCAUAUUUCUAAAUUGGUUCUCAACAAUAGUUUGGACAUGUAAUCAACACAGGUGAUAAUGCAAACUCACAGCAAGAAAUGUGCAUCGUCAUUUAUCAGUUAGUAAAAAAUAAAGCAAUUUCUGAAUAUUCCAUUUAAAGGAAAUCUUCUUCAAAUCAGCUAACAUUUAAAUAAUGUAAAACGUCUGCAGUGAAUUUCUGUGGUUUUGGUAAGCUCAAAUUCCCUUCCCUCUCUUCCAGCAAGUAUCCCAUCUCUUCCUUUAUGACAGGGGAUGAGAUGAUUGGUUGGAUAGCAUCACUAACUCCAAGGAUAUGAAUUUGAGCCAAGUGCAGGAGAUAGUGAAGGACAGGGAAGCCUGGCGUGCUGCAGUCCUUGCUUUUGCAAAGAGUCAGACGCAUACAGCUAAGUGACUAAGCAACAGCAACCACCCCUGUCACCUCUGGAGGAGUUGGUGGGCACAUGGCCGUGAUCUCAGGGAGAAACACCAUCUAGAGCAGGUCAAUUAGAACAACUCACUAGUCAGACAUUGUCAAGAAUCCCAACAAUGGCCACAGAACCUCUGAUCCUUCUCUUGGGACUUUUCACUUGCAGAUCGGGGAGAAACUGUCUUAUUUCUCCUUUGCAGUUGUUGACUCAGGAUGGUUCCAGGUUGCAGCUCCCCGGUCCGUGUGUUUUCCAUGUGACAAGAACUUCACGGAGAAAGAGGGAAAGAACACCUAUCAAAGGGGAGAGAUCCUAGAUUCAACUUAACAACAAUAGUGUAACAGAGUUUCUGAA
RNAcentral lists this long non-coding RNA (849 nucleotides) under Bos grunniens (domestic yak). RNAcentral's name for it is "lncRNA (ENSBGRG00000015823.1)". The record is from RNAcentral. Lineage: Eukaryota; Metazoa; Chordata; Mammalia; Artiodactyla; Bovidae.